RNAcentral lists this microRNA (19 nucleotides) under Gyrodactylus salaris (gyrodactylosis fluke). RNAcentral describes it as "gsa-miR-9399-5p". The record is from miRBase by way of RNAcentral. Lineage: Eukaryota; Metazoa; Platyhelminthes; Monogenea; Gyrodactylidea; Gyrodactylidae.
CCAAUUUCUGUCCACUACA